This 276-nucleotide ribosomal RNA is filed under the name Triticum aestivum (bread wheat). RNAcentral describes it as "partial small subunit ribosomal RNA". Lineage: Eukaryota; Viridiplantae; Streptophyta; Magnoliopsida; Poales; Poaceae. The record is from RNAcentral.
CUACUCCCAUGGAUUCAGUUGGUCAGCCGGUCCACGCCGAAUCUGAACGCUCCACUGGUGUCCGCUCUUGCUGAUCGGUGGAGGCCGAAGACACACAAUUUCCAUCUUCGGACUGGGGAGAUGACCGUGACGCUCGAGGAUGUCUCGUUGAUCACCGGUCUUGCUAUCGACGGGAUGUCUCUCUGUAUGAGCACUGAUUCUGAUGGGUGGCACGAGCAAAUGAUUGCUCUUAUCGGUAUGGCUCCUACCGAGGCUGAGGCUGAUGUAGAGGAUUGA